AACAACUGGCAAUCGUGUGUUUGGUGCUCUGAAGGGAGCAUUGGAUGGUGGCUUGGACAUUCCUCACAGUGACAAGAGAUUUUUUGGAUUCUCAAAUGAUAGCAAGCAGCUUGAUGCCGAGGUUCACCGAAAGUGUAUUUAUGUUGGCCAUGUUAGUGCAUAUAUGGGGACUUUUAUGGAAGAUGAACCAGAGACGUACCAAUCUCACUUCAGUGAAUAUAUUAAGAAGAUAGUUGAGCAAGAUGGCAUCGAGGAGAUGUACAAGAAGGUUCAUGCUACCAUCUGUGCAAACCCCAUUCAAAAGAAGGUUGAGAAGCAGCCACCGAAAGAGCACAAGAGGUACAAUUUGAAGAAGCUGACCUAUGAGGAAAGGAAAGCUAAGUUGGUUGAACGAUUGAAUGCUCUCAACUCAACAACUGCUAAUGAUGAGGAU
Vitis vinifera (wine grape) is the source of this 433-nucleotide RNA transcript. It is a transcript of the gene named ribosomal protein L5 pseudogene, with no coding region annotated. The record is from RefSeq and is marked validated. The transcript has a single exon. NCBI's taxonomy places the organism in Eukaryota, Viridiplantae, Streptophyta, Magnoliopsida, Vitales, Vitaceae.